CACUGGUGUUAGAUACGUGGAGCUCCACCGCGGAUACAAAGGAAUGGCUCCUGCUGAAGCUGACAUGCUGUUCCUGGAAAACGCAAAGAAACUCUCCAUGUACGGAGUCGACCUGCAUCGUGCCAAGCUGGUCAGCCGGCUGUUUGAGUGUUUAGCAGCGGCGCAGGAGGAGGUAAGAUGCUGUGUGUCGUCUGUGUUUGUGGAUACAUGUGUGCUUUUUCUUGGUAGGUCUUGUGUGUGUCUGUGAUGGUUAUUGUAGUGUUUCUGUGGCUCUGCAUGAGCGGGAUGAUGAAGGUCUUCGGCGUGUCGUUGUGCUUUGUUUGUCCUCUAUAUCAGCUCAACACGAGCGUCUCGCAGCUUCAUCGUGAAUCCGUUCUCCAUUGUGUUGUCGUUCAGUGUUGAUGGUCACGCUGAUGCUGCAGACGCUCGUGUUGAGCUGCAUUGGUUUAUCGAUUCAUUUGAUCGUCUCCUGGUAUAAGUGUUUAAAGAGACGCUUCCUCAUUCUGAACAUGAGAUCAUCUCUGUGCAACAUAAAGGGAAAAAUCUUUCAAUACAAAAUCAGUUCAGACAUUUUUCAACACUGUU
Sinocyclocheilus grahami is the source of this 585-nucleotide long non-coding RNA. RefSeq lists it as uncharacterized. The record is from RefSeq and is a predicted model, not a curated record. The transcript is spliced from 3 exons. NCBI's taxonomy places the organism in Eukaryota, Metazoa, Chordata, Actinopteri, Cypriniformes, Cyprinidae.